RNAcentral lists this ribosomal RNA (253 nucleotides) under uncultured bacterium. Its description in RNAcentral is "partial 16S ribosomal RNA". It matches the Rfam family "Bacterial small subunit ribosomal RNA", at positions 524 to 776 of the family's 1533-position model. The record is from RNAcentral.
UACGAGAGGCCCAAACGUUAUUCGGAAUUACUGGGCUUAAAGAGUUCGUAGGCGGCAUUGCAAGUAGGGUGUGAAAGCCCUCGGCUCAACCGAGGAAUUGCGCUCUAAACUGCAGUGCUUGAGGAAGCUAGAGGUGAGCGGAACUGAUGGUGGAGCGGUGAAAUGCGUUGAUAUCAUCAGGAACACCGGAGGCGAAGGCGGCUCACUGGGGCUUUUCUGACGCUGAGGAACGAAAGCCAGGGUAGCGAACGGG